UGGGUUGUGGCUCAGUGGCAGAGCUCUUGCUUCACACGUGAGUGACUGAGUUCGUUCCUCAGCAGCACAU
Molecule: transfer RNA, 70 nt
Filed under: Ictidomys tridecemlineatus (thirteen-lined ground squirrel)
Lineage: Eukaryota; Metazoa; Chordata; Mammalia; Rodentia; Sciuridae
Description: Spermophilus tridecemlineatus (thirteen-lined ground squirrel) tRNA
Rfam family: tRNA
About the family: Transfer RNA (tRNA) molecules are approximately 80 nucleotides in length. Their secondary structure includes four short double-helical elements and three loops (D, anti-codon, and T loops).
Source: Rfam by way of RNAcentral